AGUGAGGAUCAUACGGUCAGCUCCCGCUGAACUCCCCCAGGGCAGAAAUGCAGCAAGGGUAAGUGGUCGUAGCGACCGGUAUGGUUUCUCACUCUU
Molecule: signal recognition particle RNA, 96 nt
Filed under: Saprospiraceae bacterium
Lineage: Bacteria; Pseudomonadati; Bacteroidota; Saprospiria; Saprospirales; Saprospiraceae
Description: signal recognition particle sRNA small type
Rfam family: Bacteroidales small SRP
About the family: The non-coding component of the signal recognition particle in Bacteroides
Source: RNAcentral